RNAcentral lists this ribosomal RNA (465 nucleotides) under Astrothelium neogalbineum. RNAcentral describes it as "eukaryotic LSU rRNA". It matches the Rfam family "Eukaryotic large subunit ribosomal RNA", at positions 136 to 632 of the family's 3401-position model. Lineage: Eukaryota; Fungi; Ascomycota; Dothideomycetes; Trypetheliales; Trypetheliaceae. The record is from RNAcentral.
GGCCGAGUUGUAAUUUGCAGAGGAUGUGAUGGAAUUUGUAUGGAAUCAAGUCCUUUGGAAAAAGGCGCCAUGGAAAGUGAAAGUCUUGUGCUUUUCAAUACAUUUUCCACAAAUCACUCCUUCAAAGAGUCGAGUUGUUUGGGAAUGCAGCUCAAAACGGGACGUAAAUUUGUUCCAAAGCUAAAUACCGGCUAGAGACCGAUAGCGCACAAGUAGAGUGAUCGAAAGAUGAAAAGCACUUUGAAAAGAGAGUUAAACAGCACGUGAAAUUGUUGAAAGGGAAGCUUAUGUCAUCAGAAAUGACGUCAAUGUUCAGCCUUUUGGUGUAUUCAUUGAUUGUCAAGUUAGCAUCAAUUGGGGUAGCGGGAUAAAAGUAUUGGGAAUGUAGUUUUCUCCGGAAAAUCUUAUAGCCCGUUACAGCAUGCCGCUAAUCCCGAUUGAGGACCGCUUACAGGAUGCUGACGU